Long non-coding RNA from Bubalus bubalis (water buffalo), 725 nucleotides. RefSeq lists it as uncharacterized. The transcript has 4 exons. The record is from RefSeq and is a predicted model, not a curated record. Lineage: Eukaryota; Metazoa; Chordata; Mammalia; Artiodactyla; Bovidae.
CAGCAAGGCUGACUGUAAAUCAUCCAGGCUCAAUUAGUGUAUUUCAAAGAAAUACCCAGGUGUUGUUUGACCUUCAAACAUAUGGACUGCUGGAAUAAAUGAAAGUCUCGCCUGUUCCCAUCAUGCUGAGGGAACUAGAUGGGGUAAUUCUUUUUCCUAGUCUCUGAGUUUUGUGGAGGGAUUAUUAGGUUUGGGCUCAGUGAGUUAUUUGCUUUAGCAAUAUGCUCAGUGGUGGGCUGCAGUUGCCUUUGCUGAGGGAAUUGCCAGGUGUGAGCUGUCACCAAGUACCACUAGAAUGCUGGAGGGGCGUGGGGAACCACUGGGCCAUGGAGGUGGGGCCUGAGCUCUGAGGCUUGAAGGGGACAGCCUGGGGUACAAUCGGAAGCAAUAAGAAAAUGGGAGCAGUGUUUCAUGAAAUACAAGUGAUCUCAUAGGAUUGUUAUAAGAACUUAUGAUAAAUGCUUCCCAUGGUGCCUGGCCCAGAGUUGGGCCCUGGCCAUUGGGCCUUCAACAUCACUCCUCCAUUGACUAGUUGCCAUCAGAUCAUCCCGUAAUGAGGAGAAAAGUAGGACAUACACCUUUAAGCCUGGAGCACCGGAGGCAGCAGACCAGAUGGAUGAGAACCGAAGGACCAUCUAUCAACCCUCCCUGCAACAUUUGGAGGUUUCCCCCUUCUUUUAAUUAGGAGCAGACUCUUCUAGAGGGUCACUCCCCUCACUCCCUCC